RNAcentral lists this ribosomal RNA (247 nucleotides) under Acinetobacter baumannii. RNAcentral's name for it is "partial 23S ribosomal RNA". It matches the Rfam family "Bacterial large subunit ribosomal RNA", at positions 1099 to 1345 of the family's 2925-position model. The record is from RNAcentral. Lineage: Bacteria; Pseudomonadati; Pseudomonadota; Gammaproteobacteria; Moraxellales; Moraxellaceae.
UGUUGGCUUAGAAGCAGCCAUCAUUUAAAGAAAGCGUAAUAGCUCACUAGUCGAGUCGGCCUGCGCGGAAGAUGUAACGGGGCUAAACCAUGCACCGAAGCUGCGGCAGCGACACUAUGUGUUGUUGGGUAGGGGAGCGUUCUGUAAGCCUGCGAAGGUGUGCUGUGAGGCAUGCUGGAGGUAUCAGAAGUGCGAAUGCUGACAUAAGUAACGAUAAAGCGGGUGAAAAGCCCGCUCGCCGGAAGAC